This is a long non-coding RNA of Canis lupus familiaris (dog), 473 nucleotides long. RefSeq lists it as uncharacterized. NCBI's taxonomy places the organism in Eukaryota, Metazoa, Chordata, Mammalia, Carnivora, Canidae. The record is from RefSeq and is a predicted model, not a curated record. The transcript has 4 exons.
AGGGGGCACCUGCCGCUGGAAGCCGCCGGCCCCGCAGCAACACCGGCGGUAACUGGAGUUUACACAGAUGGCACCUUCCAGCAAACCCAAAGUGGUCCCGCGGAUUAGGCUUCACAGAGUCCGCUGUAGCCUACGGUGGCUUCUGCUUCACACCCCAUUUCUGCCUCCAGGGCGUGGGGCCGUUCCAGAAAGAGGGAACAAGAGGCCCCAAGGAUUCUCGUUUUGUCAAAAAAAAAAAAAAGCCAGAAACAAAAAUGUCCUGCCACAGCACGCCCACUGAGCUGAGAGUCCGUCACAGAGAGAGAGAGGCGCAGAGACAUAGGCAGAGGGAGAAGCAGGCUCCAUGCACCGGGAGCCCGACGUGGGAUUCGAUCCCGGGUCUACCAGGAUCACGCCCUGGGCCAAAGGCAGGCGCCAAACCGCUGCGCCACCCAGGGAUCCCAUGGGAUCUAAAAUGAGGUAACAAAUGACCA